RNAcentral lists this ribosomal RNA (253 nucleotides) under uncultured bacterium. RNAcentral's name for it is "partial 16S ribosomal RNA". It matches the Rfam family "Bacterial small subunit ribosomal RNA", at positions 524 to 776 of the family's 1533-position model. The record is from RNAcentral.
UACGUAGGGUGCGAUCGUUGUCCGGAAUUAUUGGGCGUAAAGAGCUCGUAGGCGGUUUGUCGCGUCGGCCGUGAAAACUUGGGGCUUAACCCCGAGCCUGCGGUCGAUACGGGCAGACUUGAGUUCGGCAGGGGAGACUGGAAUUCCUGGUGUAGCGGUGAAAUGCGCAGAUAUCAGGAGGAACACCGGUGGCGAAGGCGGGUCUCUGGGCCGAUACUGACGCUGAGGAGCGAAAGCGUGGGGAGCGAACAGG